Molecule: ribosomal RNA, 253 nt
Filed under: uncultured bacterium
Lineage: Bacteria
Description: partial 16S ribosomal RNA
Rfam family: Bacterial small subunit ribosomal RNA
Source: RNAcentral
UACAGAGGGUGCAAACGUUGCUCGGAAUUAUUGGGCGUAAAGCGCACGUAGGCGGUUUGGUAAGUUGGAUGUGAAAACCCUGGGCUCAACCCUGGAAGUGCAUCCAAGACUGCCAAGCUAGAGUGUCGGAGGGGGUCGGAGAAUUCCCGGUGUAGAGGUGAAAUUCGUAGAUAUCAGGAGGAACACCGGUGGCGAAGGCGGGUCUCUGGGCCGUAACUGACGCUGAGGAGCGAAAGCAUGGGGAGCGAACAGG